AGAGAGAGAGAGAGAGAGAGAGAGAGAGAGAGAGAGAGAGAAAAAGAAAGAGUGGGCAGCCACUCUGGUGCACUCUGGUGGUUCUUGCAACAGCGUCACUGUUGCUUGAUCUCCAACAGUCCAGCUGUGGCAUUGUGGCUCAUGCAAGAUUCAGCAAAAACACAGCAAACUACUCAAAUCCCAGUGGACGGAUUUAAAUGGACAAGGCGUCAUUUUUUUCUCAAAAAGGUUUUUUCACUGCAUGUUAAUGUUUCCUGGAUUCAUGAAAGUGUUGCAACUCCGUGAACUAACAUUGCUUCGGCUUUGUGGGCAAUUUAGAUACAUCUUUUUGGAGAACAUGUUGUUGUUGCCUACACUUCUACAAACAAUCACGUCUUUGGAAACAUGGAAAACCACUACUGCCUUUUGAGCACUGCCAAACAAGACUCCCAAGGCGUGAAAUGUAAGCAGUAACUGCAAAGUAAAGCUUUUUAUUUUGAGCAGAUUUAUGAUGCUUGUAAGAAGUGCAGAUUAUUUAGUUUUAACUUUGACGUGAAAAAUACAUCUUUAACGUCUUGUGACUGAGUUGAGCCAGUGAAUAAUGGAUGGCAACCUGAGCACUUCAUUAUCCAAUGUGACCAAAGAAACAGUACCCUACCACGAUGCGGCGGGACCCUGGAGCCUCAUCAUACUGGUCAUCAUCAUACUGAUCAUAGUGGUGGGAAACCUGCUGGUCAUCAUCGCCGUAGCUCGUACUUCACAGCUACAGACAACGACAAACAUUUUCAUUAUGUCCCUGGCAUGUGCGGAUCUCAUCAUGGGGUUCUUCGUGGUGCCUCUGGGGGCCACCAUUGUGGUGACUGGUAACUGGCAGCUCAGUAACACAUUCUGUGACUUCUGGACUUCUGUGGACGUCCUGUGUGUGACAGCAAGCAUCGAGACACUCUGUGUCAUAGCAGUGGAUCGGUAUAUAGCCAUUACGAGGCCCCUCCGACACAAGGUUCUACUCAAUAAGUGGCGUGCCAGGGUAAUAGUUUGUUUAGUGUGGGUUGUGUCCGCCUUAAUUUCCUUUGUACCAAUUAUGAUAGGGCUUUGGCGUGAUGAUAAUGAUGAGGUGAAGGUAUGCUACGAUACCCCUGAAUGCUGUGACUUUGUGACCAACUGGGCCUUUGCUAUUAUAUCCUCUACCGUGUCUUUUUACAUUCCACUGCUCAUAAUGAUAUUUGUGUACGCAAAAGUCUUUCUAAUAGCCACACGGCAGGUCCAGCUCAUAGAUAAGAAUCGCAUACGUUUUCAGAAUGAGUGUCCAACAGCGCAGAUGCAAGUUGGUCCCCACAUCAACAAUAUCCUGCCACCGGCGUGUGCAGCCUCCAGCAACUGCAACAGCACAGUGCGGAGAAAGAGCGCCAAGCGGAGGCCGUCACGGCUAAUGCUCGUCAAAGAGCAGAAGGCCCUCAAGACUUUGGGUAUCAUCAUGGGGACCUUCACUGUGUGCUGGCUGCCAUUCUUUGUUGCCAACAUCAUCAACGCAUUUAACAGAAAAGUUCCCCCAGAGAAGAUCUUUCGACUGUUGAACUGGCUGGGUUACAUUAACUCCGGCCUCAAUCCUAUCAUCUACUGCAGGAGUCCAGAGUUUCGCACUGCGUUCAAGAACCUGCUGGGCUGUCCGUGGCUGUCCACCCUGUGGCUUAAUACUUUCUAUAAAGAGCUGCGGACUCGCUGCUCCUGCUUUCUAUGGCAGGCUGAGUCAGGCACAGCUGGCUCUUUCCAAAAGUCUCCAACCAGUAGGACUGAGGGCAGCGAGAGUCUGGCCAGUACUCAGGGAAGCAACAAAAGUGAGGAGGCUUCCCCUGGUCCUCUGCAGUCCAACGGCAGCACACAGUUCAGUGACUUAUCAGAACCAGAAACCGAAUUUGGAAUUUCACAGACAUAAUCAAUGAGGCUGUAAAACGGGAGACAUUUAGGAGCAUAUAAAAGUCUUCCUUAAAAGGAGCCCGGCGUGUUCUGUAGUAAAUCACCCCAAGGGGAAGGCUCAGCGGACUCACCCUGCGCUUUGAGCAUGAUUACAAACGUAAGUGAGACCAGCCGUUCAGGAAUGACUCUGGUGGUGCCACGGCUCGAAGACAGGUUUGAUGAAGGAAUAUGACAAACGGUUCGAGGCAGAGUCUGGAGUGCUGAAGUGCUUCACGCUGCAGGAAAAGGAUGGAUGAACUGUAAAAUGUCAGGCUACUGAAGCAAGCCGUUACUGUGAUUCCUGCCAAGGCUGAGACCAAACAGCAGUGAGGACAAGCUAAUGAAGAGUACUACCACCAGCUCUGAUAAACAUAGCUGAGUGAAGCUCACCCCAAAGAGAUGACUGAAUUGACUGUAAAGAAACAUCUGAUUUGGUCUGGACAGGAACACUGUGACAGUCUCUGUGGACAGGAGAUGGACUGCUGCAACUCAGCACUUCACAGACAUUAGGUGACACCAAAGGUGAACCUCCCAGUGUCAUCUAAAUACUGUUUGCAAAAUACUCUCUGUUCCCGAAUAAGACAAUACUUAUCUGCAAGUUUUAAAUGCAUUCCAGUAAACCUUUGGACACAAUGUAUGUGUCCUGUGGUUCCAAUAAUGACAGCAUUAACUCAUUUUGUACAGUGUAUAUUAUCUGGUAAGUUAUCUAUUUAUGAUACACUGAAUCUGUAGCAAAAUGCAAACGUUGUCUAACUUAAUACAAGGUCAUAAUUCUGGCAAGACUGUCUUCACUGUCCAGUUAAGAAAGAUAAAUGUUCAUGGCACACACUCUUCAGUGUAAUAUCAGCUAAACCAAAGGGCUGUGCAUUCAAAUAUUCCAUUCUGGUGUCUGUUUUCCGACUAAAUCUUUCUGUUUUGAGCCUGGACUCUGUAUCCGCACAAUAAUAGUUAUCUUGCUUAAAUCCCCUUGUCUAUGUUAAAUUAAUCCACGGCUAAGGAAAAUGGUAAUUUCUCAUUCGCUGGCUGUUAAAAUCGUAUAUCAGGAAACUCAAACAUAAUUCCUGUUGACAGUUGACCAUCAGUAUAAAUCAUUGUGCAAGGUACAGUAUUAUAAACUGCAGGUAACCAUAGCACAACAUUUCUGCUAGAUGCUAUGUUAUCACUAAACUCCUUACCCUUUUUCCUUUGGUAAGCUGCCAUGGUAUAAGAUCAAUAACUAAAUCAAUAACUGAAAUGUCCAAAUAUAAAAAAAUAAUGGACCUCAGCCAUUAUUUUAUUAUAUCAGGACACACUGUUGUGUGUUAUCACUUACAUAACAUCAUCUGUUGCAUUGAGAAAUAAAAUUUUAUAAAACUGUG
RNA transcript from Siniperca chuatsi (mandarin fish), 3290 nucleotides. It is a transcript of the gene named adrenoceptor beta 3a, with no coding region annotated. The record is from RefSeq and is a predicted model, not a curated record. NCBI's taxonomy places the organism in Eukaryota, Metazoa, Chordata, Actinopteri, Centrarchiformes, Sinipercidae. The transcript has 3 exons.